Molecule: ribosomal RNA, 787 nt
Filed under: Micrococcus luteus
Lineage: Bacteria; Bacillati; Actinomycetota; Actinomycetes; Micrococcales; Micrococcaceae
Description: bacterial SSU rRNA
Rfam family: Bacterial small subunit ribosomal RNA
Source: RNAcentral
CGGGUGAGUAACACGUGAGUAACCUGCCCUUAACUCUGGGAUAAGCCUGGGAAACUGGGUCUAAUACCGGAUAGGAGCGUCCACCGCAUGGUGGGUGUUGGAAAGAUUUAUCGGUUUUGGAUGGACUCGCGGCCUAUCAGCUUGUUGGUGAGGUAAUGGCUCACCAAGGCGACGACGGGUAGCCGGCCUGAGAGGGUGACCGGCCACACUGGGACUGAGACACGGCCCAGACUCCUACGGGAGGCAGCAGUGGGGAAUAUUGCACAAUGGGCGAAAGCCUGAUGCAGCGACGCCGCGUGAGGGAUGACGGCCUUCGGGUUGUAAACCUCUUUCAGUAGGGAAGAAGCGAAAGUGACGGUACCUGCAGAAGAAGCACCGGCUAACUACGUGCCAGCAGCCGCGGUAAUACGUAGGGUGCGAGCGUUAUCCGGAAUUAUUGGGCGUAAAGAGCUCGUAGGCGGUUUGUCGCGUCUGUCGUGAAAGUCCGGGGCUUAACCCCGGAUCUGCGGUGGGUACGGGCAGACUAGAGUGCAGUAGGGGAGACUGGAAUUCCUGGUGUAGCGGUGGAAUGCGCAGAUAUCAGGAGGAACACCGAUGGCGAAGGCAGGUCUCUGGGCUGUAACUGACGCUGAGGAGCGAAAGCAUGGGGAGCGAACAGGAUUAGAUACCCUGGUAGUCCAUGCCGUAAACGUUGGGCACUAGGUGUGGGGACCAUUCCACGGUUUCCGCGCCGCAGCUAACGCAUUAAGUGCCCCGCCUGGGGAGUACGGCCGCAAGGCUAAAACUC